GACGAACGCUGGCGGCGUGCUUAACACAUGCAAGUCGAACGGUGAAGCGCCUUCCUUUUUGGUGGGUGUGGAUGAGUGGCGAACGGGUGAGUAACACGUGAGUAACCUGCCCCCUUCUUCUGGAUAACCGCAUGAAAGUGUGGCUAAUACGGGAUAUUCUGGGUCUGUCGCAUGAUGGGUCUGGGAAAGAUAUUGUUUCGGUGGGGGAUGGGCUCGCGGCCUAUCAGCUUGUUGGUGGGGUGAUGGCCUACCAAGGCGGUGACGGGUAGCCGGCCUGAGAGGGUGGACGGUCACACUGGGACUGAGACACGGCCACGCCUCCUACGGGAGGCAGCAGUGGGGAAUAGUGCACAAUGGGCGCAAGCCUGAUGCAGCGACGCCGCGUGAGGGAUGGAGGCCUGCGGGUUGUGAACCUCUUUCGCCAGUGAAGCAGGCCUGCCUCGUUUGUGGGUGGGUUGACGGUAGCUGGAUAAGAAGCGCCGGCUAACUACGUG
Molecule: ribosomal RNA, 494 nt
Filed under: uncultured bacterium
Lineage: Bacteria
Description: partial 16S ribosomal RNA
Rfam family: Bacterial small subunit ribosomal RNA
Source: RNAcentral